RNAcentral lists this long non-coding RNA (4018 nucleotides) under Podarcis lilfordi (Lilford's wall lizard). The record is from RNAcentral. Lineage: Eukaryota; Metazoa; Chordata; Lepidosauria; Squamata; Lacertidae.
AGCAAGCAAAGGCUCUAGCAGCUCAGCCAGCUGCUUGUGGCUGGAAAGCCAGACAGGAUGUUUGUGACUGUUGCCAUGGGAACAAAGGGGCAGUCCAUUCUGUACUGAGCACCGGAUGUUAGCUCAGUGUGUGUGUGUCAUAUGACCCGUACUGGAUGUACUUGGGAGGAGUUUUCUUCUUGCUGUUGUUGAGUGCAGACAUGAUUCUCUGUACUGAUGUAAGAGGCAGAAAUAAAUGAUGUAAAUAGUUUUCUGUCUGCUUCUUUCCCUCCCUGGGGACACCAAAGGGAGAGAGGAAGAACGGUGUGUUCCUCUCAUACAUCUGAGAAGAAUCGCUGGACCUCGCCUGCUUAUCAGCAGAGUGGAGACGCGGGGAGGUCGACAGGAAUAUCUGCCGGUGCCUACGCUGUGGCACAUUCCUCUGACCCAGGCAGAAUUCCAACAGUGGUAGCAGAGGAUGGUUGCGAUUCAUCGGACAUCUGCAUGAGAGGCUGGUGGAUUGUCCUCCUCUGCUCCAAGGAGGAAGAGAAAAGCGUCUGAAAGAAGCCAGAGGCUCCACAGACAGCUGAUGGAAAGAAGAGGUGUUUUCCAGAGCAACAAAGUUCAAGGUAUGCUGCAUUUCGGGCUAAAAGUGUGAACGCAGGAAGAUUAAUUCCCUGGUUCACGGAGCUGCGUUUCAAAGAAAACAAAAGCUCCGGAGGAAGAGGCCUGCAGCUUGAAGGCUGAAGCCUGCAUUCCACAAAUUUUUGUGGUAGAUAAGAAGUCCUAUUGAAAUGCAUUGUUGCUAGGUAACGGUCCUGGAAAGUUACUGGCAAAGGGGCUGGACUCUGAGUGUAAGCCUGGGAAAGCGAAACAAAACCAGAGAAUGUUUUGGCUACAAGGUUUACGAGCUCUUGGAAGGGACUUUUCAAUAGCAGCCUGAGUUUAGCUGCCAGGUGCAAAGAGCGUAAACAAUUUGCAGUUUGCUGCGUGAGAAAGGAAAAAACAACUGUUGGAUUUUACAGUUUGUUUGACAGCGUGAAAGAGGCUUGGCUUCAAGAUGGAUGCCAAGAAAGGGGAGGUUUGCCUUGCCCACCUCCCUUAACCAAUGACAAUUAUUCAUCUUGGUCUGUAAAGAUGAAGGCCCUGCUGCAGAAUCAGAGGCUUUUUGAUGUAAUUGAAAACCCCAUCCCUGCAGCACCAACCAGAGGUUGGGAGUCACAGAAUGUAAGGGCCAGGACUGCUAUAAUUCUGUGUGUCUCAGAUGAUCAGUUGGUGCAUGUUCAGCAUUUAGAAAAUGCGAAAGAGGUAUGGGACACGCUGCGUACAACGCAUCAGAGAGAUGCUGGUUCUUCAGCGUUGCUGUAUUUUGAGAAAUUGACCAAUCUGAGACUUGCGCCUGAUGGAGAUGUUCAAGCGCACCUGACAGAAAUGAAGUUUCUGCGUCAACAGAUGGUGGAACGCAAUUUUCGUCUUCAGGAGGAAGUGUUUUGCUUCAUGAUGAUAAACAGCCUUAGCCGCACCUACAAGGUUGUUGCCAGUCAGCUUGGUUCCCUACCGGCCGCGCAGCUGACCGCGGAGAGAGUUUGUGCUGUGGUCCUGAAUGAACACGACAGACUUGCUGCACUGGAAGAAAAAGACAGGGGGAGGGAAGAACAGAGUUCUAAUUCCCCACUGCUGAUGCUACUGGGGAGCAUGGUGUAGCAUUGAGUGCUGUCCGAUGCUACAAUUGUGGACAGACUGGGCAUCUACAGCGAAACUGUAAGAAGCCGCGCCAGUCAAGAGGAGCAAAGAGCAGCUCUACGAAGCCUCAGGCGUCAGGCAAAAGCCGUACCAAGUGCCAGGUGAAACCUGCAAAGGCUAUGAUGGCGAAAGGAACCACGCCAGAUGUUGGGAACUCGUUCAUAAUCGACACGGGCUGUACGAAACAUUUGUGCCCGCACAGAGGACUAUUUUCGACGUUGAGGAAGCAAAGCUUCACUGUGAAACAGGCCAACGGUCAGGAGUUGGAAGCGACUGGAAUUGGGACUGUGUAUCUUGAGAGUCUGAACUUGACUAUAAGUGAUGUUUACCUGGUUCCAGAACUGAGAUUUAAUCUGCUGAGCGUGUCGCAGAUUGCAAAGAAAGGACUGAAACUGUCCUAUGAUGCUAAAAGCUGCAAGAUCUACAAAGAUGGAGAACUGUUUCUUACUGCCAAAGAGAAAGAUGGACUGUAUUUGUUGACUUUUGAUCAAAGUGAUUACAUGAAAUGUAAUUCUGCUGUUUCUAACGAAAUCUCUCUUGCAGGUGUGACCAGUGUGAGCACCAGGAAGGUGACUAAGACGAAGAAGGUCAACAGAGCAUUUCAGCGGGUGUAUGCUGAUGUGAUUGGUCCUCUAGAACCAUCUAGAGGCGGUGCACGAUUUUACCUUGUGUGUGUGGAUUGUUUCACUAAUUAUUCUUGGGUUUAUAUGAUGGAGAAACCGCAAGAAACUUUAGAAAAGUUUCAGGAGUUUUGUGACAAGGUUAAAAGUAUGCAUGAUGCUAACAUUGAUUGUCUUUUCACAGAUGAGAAGCAAAUUUUUCUGUUGCAGAAGUUUCAGAAGUUCCUGGAUGGAAAAGGAUAGACCACAAAGUGGCUGUUUCGCAAGAAGCGUGGAACAGGGGGGUCUGUGUAAAAGUGAACAAAGAAUUGCAAAAGGGGAUGAAUGCGCAAUUGCUGAGUUCACAUUUGCCACAUGAAUAUUGGGCUGAGUCGCUAGCGUCCUAUCUUCAUGUGUGGUUGAGAAAGGUCUCAACAGAGUUGGGAUGUUCUCCUUUUGAGAAGCUGUUCAAUAGAAAACCUUCUGUUGCCUAUUUUAAGGUUUUCGGGUCUCAUGUGAGAACAGAAGCUCCAGGUGGAGUAAAGAAUGCCAGAGGCAUUUUUGUGGGUUAUGAAAAAGGUCUCUACAGAGUAAUUUUGUCUGAAUCUGGUCAGGUGAUUCUCACAAAGUUCCUAGAGAGUGCUCCAAAGCAAGAGCGGAUAGUACAGACAUUUCCCACAGGAACGAUUCUGAUGAUGAUGAUGAUGAGUUUGAUCUUAUUGAGUUCAGUAGUACUGAUGAUGACACUGAUAGCUCAGAGAGUUCAGUUGUAACAGUCAUUGAGAGGAAAUCUCACACAAUGGAUAGACCUUCACAGGUGAAGGAAGAACCACUGAUUGCUACUGGUUCUCAACAGAGUCCAAAGGUUGAACCAGUGAGCACAGAGGAUCAGAACCUCAUACGUAGGUCUGAGAGAGCAACGAAGGGUGUACCACCCAAGAGGUAUUCAAAGGAGUUUGCUAACCUUGCAUAUGUUGCUAUUGUAAACGACCAAGGACAGAUUGAAGCUGUGUCUGAGUCAGAGACAAAGGCACAACAGAGAGUGUUAACCAAGGUAAUGCGAAGUCACACAACCAGAGAGGUACAUUGGUUAAACCAGUGGCGGGUAGUUCCAAGGGUGGAACUGAAACAACAGGGAAUGUUAUAAAUAUAACAACUGUUUGUUUUCUUCUCUGGAUGACGCUUUGCUCGCGGCACACAUUGAUACUUUAGGGGAGUAUGUUACCAUAAAGCACCAAUGCUGCAGCAAGCAAAGGCUCUAGCAGCUCAGCCAGCUGCUUGUGGCUGGAAAGCCAGACAGGAUGUUUGUGACUGUUGCCAUGGGAACAAAGGGGCAGUCCAUUCUGUACUGAGCACCGGAUGUUAGCUCAGUGUGUGUGUGUCAUAUGACCCGUACUGGAUGUACUUGGGAGGAGUUUUCUUCUUGCUGUUGUUGAGUGCAGACAUGAUUCUCUGUACUGAUGUAAGAGGCAGAAAUAAAUGAUGUAAAUAGUUUUCUGUCUGCUUCUUUCCCUCCCUGGGGACACCAAAGGGGAGAGAGGAAGAACGGUGUGUUCCUCUCAUACAUCUGAGAAGAAUCGCCGGACCUCGCCUGCUUAUCAGCAGAGUGGAGACGCGGGGAGGUCGACAGGAAUAUCUGCCGGUGCCUACGCUGUGGCACAUUCCUCUGACCCAGGCAGAAUUCCAACAGGGGGAAU